Molecule: ribosomal RNA, 449 nt
Filed under: uncultured bacterium
Lineage: Bacteria
Description: partial 16S ribosomal RNA
Rfam family: Bacterial small subunit ribosomal RNA
Source: RNAcentral
GUGGGGAAUAUUGACAAUGGGCGAAAGCCUGAUCCAGCCAUGCCGCGUGUGUGAAGAAGGUCUUCGGAUUGUAAAGCACUUUAAGUUGGGAGGAAGGGCAGUAAGUUAAUACCUUGCUGUUUUGACGUUACCGACAGAAUAAGCACCGGCUAACUUCGUGCCAGCAGCCGCGGUAAUACGAAGGGUGCAAGCGUUAAUCGGAAUUACUGGGCGUAAAGCGCGCGUAGGUGGUUUUGUAAGUUGGAGGUGAAAUCCCCGGGCUCAACCUGGGAACUGCCUCCAAAACUGCAUGACUAGAGUACGGUAGAGGGUAGUGGAAUUUCCUGUGUAGCGGUGAAAUGCGUAGAUAUAGGAAGGAACACCAGUGGCGAAGGCGACUACCUGGACUGAUACUGACACUGAGGUGCGAAAGCGUGGGGAGCAAACAGGAUUAGAAACCCGGGUAGUCC